This is a long non-coding RNA of Sinocyclocheilus grahami, 293 nucleotides long. RefSeq lists it as uncharacterized. Lineage: Eukaryota; Metazoa; Chordata; Actinopteri; Cypriniformes; Cyprinidae. The transcript has 3 exons. The record is from RefSeq and is a predicted model, not a curated record.
UGUUAAAACAGUUGUGGUUGUUGGUUCUGCUGUAGAUGUAAGUUGUGUUGUUGUUGUUUCUGUAGGAGGGGCAGUAGUUGUAAGCUGAGAUGUAGUUGUAGCUGCAUUUGUUGUAACCAGGGUUGUAGAUUGAGCUGUACUUGUUGUAGGUAGGGAUGUUGUUGCUGUCUGUGUUGUGGUGCUUUGUUCAGAUGUAGUUGAUUGUUCUGUUGUAGAUGUUAAAACCGUUGUGGUUGUUGGUUCUGCUGUAGAUGUUAAAACAGUUGUGGUUGUUGGUUCAGUUGUAGAUGUUA